Molecule: long non-coding RNA, 3755 nt
Organism: Alligator sinensis (Chinese alligator)
Lineage: Eukaryota; Metazoa; Chordata; Crocodylia; Alligatoridae
Exons: 4
Source: RefSeq, a predicted model, not a curated record
UGACCAAUUAAAGGAAUUUCAAUUUUUUAAAAUAAAAGCAGCCACUGCAUAAACCUGUUACUGCUGUUUGCACUGUUCUAGGCCUGGUUUAGGAGCAGGGCUCCUUGAAAUUCCAUAUUACCUCAGUGAUUAUGCUAAUAGGAUUAGAACAAAGAUCAGUUGUUUCCAGAAACAGUUUUAAAAAUAACAUUUGGUGGAAAAGCACUUAGUUCAGAAUUUGAACUUCAGAAAAAUUUGGUUUUACUUGCACUUGAACCCUAGGAUUGCAGUAUUUCUGCCAGUCACUAGUAUACAUUACUCUCUUGACUCAGUCAUAGAAUAGAAACUACAUAGAUUACUGUCCUAAUCAUACAAAAAUAGAGGUAAGUAGAAGGCAGCAAGAGAACUGCCAUGGAUUUCAAAAACACAGAUCAAUUUGAGGCUGAAGCCAUAAAAAUAAUCCUAUUAAUUAUGUCAGUAUGGUUCUUCCUGUUAAAAUAUACCCCUACAGAUAUUGAAAUGAAGCCUUAGUGGAUAAACAUUUCUGAUUCUGUGUGUCUCCAUAGUGUUUCAACAUAAAUGCUAGGUCAGACUUUGAGAACAGAGCAGCCCUUAUCCUCUGUCAUCAAAACAAUUCCAGGUGCUCCAAAUAUACUGGGGGUUUUUUGCUAAUUUUAUUAAUUGUAAUUGGGAUCAUUAUUAUAAAAGAGUAUGAUAAGGUUUUUGCAGGUGUCUAGCAUGACAUGUCUGCUCAAAAAAGAAAUUUAAGUAGAAAUAGGUCCUUUAAAUACCACCAAGUGAACAGGAACAGGACUUGAUGAAUUUAAUGACAGAAUCACGAUUCUGUCGAAGGAGAUUUGUUUUAAUAUAAUCCGGCUUGAUAGUAGCUACAAUUUCUGUUCACCUUCCCAAGAAACCAAUAUAUCAGACAUACAAUUUUUAUAUUUUCUUGUGACCUCCAGUCUAAGAGAAACUUCAGAAUUGUCAGCUCCAUGUGCCCACAUGGUGGUUAAGUAUUUAAGAUGGAUAGCAACACAUACUGUUUUAUAUUAUAUUUAGAAUAAAGUCUAUGAUUGGAAAGCAUUCCUGGUUUUGAGGAUAGCAUUAUACAGCACAGGUUACAAAGCUAUCAAUUCCUUUCACAUAUGCUAGUUCACGUGCUGGUUUCUAAGUAUCUAGAUAGUCAGUUGAUUUCUGAACUGUAACCUCUGAGUGCCUUGUACAUUUGCAUGCUGUAUAAAUAAUCUGUUAAUCUAUUCUAUGGGCUUUAUAAUAGUAAUUCACAAUUUGAAAAUUAAAUUGUUUAAUGCUGUGUACAUUGCAGAAUAAAGUUCAUAAUACAUUUCUUACCUUUGAUUAAAAUAUUGAUAAACAGCUUCACAGCUACUUAAUCUUGAAUCUGGUUUCAGUUUAUCUAACCUUGUGCAUAAUUUGGUGCUAGGGGGAAAUCCAGGCAUUUCCCCCUCUGUUUCAGACUACAUACCUUGGACCAGUGCUGGGGGAAGAUGGUUCCACCUGGAGGCCGCUCAGAUGCAUCUAGACCUCAGUAUAUUGCUGUUAAAUAAAGAAUGUUUGUAGUUGAAGCUUUGAAGUAAAGAGAUUUCUCUGACUAGCCGUGUCACAGACUGUCAUGUUGGACACACUGGCUAUUGUUUCAGCUUUUCACUCUGAAAAUUGGGGUAGUACAUGCUAUGCUGAUGUAUGAGCCUUUUUUCAUAGAUUAAUAAUUUAUAAAGGGAUCAUUAUAUCAUAGUAUGGCUCUAGGAUUUCAGCACGUAAUUCUUGCAUGAAUGAAGUCUAAUCAUUUGAGGUUGAGCUGUUGUUGUGCCUCUCUUAGAAGGAAAGCACUAAACACCCUUAUUUGUGUCUUUAAGAAGCCUAAAUUUUCAUGCUAGAAAUAACUUUCUGGUAUAUCAAAACUUUAAUAUCACUUUAUUGCUAUAUUUGUGAUUUUUUUGUCAUCUUCAGUUACAGUGUGAUUGAGCAGCUGAACUGCCAGCUUCUAGAAUUCAAUAUAAGACUCAGAUUUCUAUUUUUUAUAAAUCCUAGUAUGUGAGACCCAUUAACCAUGUCAAAUAACGAGAUACUUUUUGGUUCUAGAGAGUGUCCAGUUGUAUCAAGUUGAAAUAGUUAAAGCAAGAUGAUAAAGGGUUGGAACACCGAUGGUCUUAACGUUGGUUUAAAUUAUAGGAUUUGAGAACCCCAAGAAAUGAAUUCUUACUCCCAUUGCUUUGUGCUGUACAGUACAGUACAGAAAGGCAGACCAGGCCAAAUAGCUCACAGUUUGGCUGGCUGUAAAUGAACAUUGCUGAACAGUAGAAGUCCAGCAGAUGCUAUCUUGAUAUUACAUGAGUUAUUAAUUAAAUCCUAAUUGAUAGCUCAUAAUAUUCGAUCAUAUAAUUAUCAUAGAUUACUUGUUUAAUUAGCGCCUUUUUUUGCUGAUGGUCCAUGACUGAGUAUCGGUCCUCCCUGAUUUUUCCACCAGUAUGAAUUUUGUUUCUUUUAAAGACAGUACUUGUCUUCUGCACAAAUAUAUAUACAUGUAUGCUUUGGCAUUUACAAAAUAGGUAUUUCAACUAGAAAGAGUGAUUAUUUAUUAAAUUACAUUUAAUUUAUAAAUGUAAUUUAUUCUAUUUUUCUUUUUUUGGAAGCUGACAGUGUGUCCUGCUUAGAUGGACCAAGAAAACGUGGAUAUUGGAGCGUGUACUCCACUUGUUAAUGUCAUCUGCACUGACAAUGGGGACCUUUAAAUAAACACUUCUAAUUCUCAUUUCAAAUUAAAUCUAUUUUUUUACAAUAUAAACUAUAUUUCAUGACAAUGAAAAAUAUUUCUAAGGAGUAGGAACAAUAGGAUCAUAUAUAUACAUGAUUUAAUUGCAGUGUAAAUAAUGCAUGUCACCCAACUGAUCCAUUUUUAAAAUAAAAUUUGGUUUAAUUUUCCUCGUCUACAUGUAUCAACUUGAUAAACCUACCCAUAAGCCCUACUGCUGGAUGUGUUUCCUAUCUUUCUAUCUUUGUACCUGUAUGUAUCGUUUGGUAUCUCUCUACUGCAUAAAACAGCAGAUUUUAAAUGAAGAAUUUCAAAAAUGAGGAUUCUUUGAAUAAAAUGUUUUGAUUGUGUUGAUCUUUAUAAAGACCACUUUCCUGCCCUUUCUUUUUCCUUGGCACUUUCAUGUCAUGACUUUAAGAUGUAGUUCCACAAAGACUUUCCAAAUCUGCUGCCAUUAUUUGGGAAGAGGAAAUUAGGACACAGGCCUUAGCGCCUGCUGCAGAAGUGACAGGGUAAUAUAAAAAUGUUAAUGUGCAGAUGAAGAUUGAUUUAAAAACUCAUUCUGCUCUGUCUUAAGAUUACGAAGAGUCAAGAGUCGUACUUUCAGGUGCUGCUGAAAGCUGGAUUUACAGUCUUGAAAACAGAAGUCAGUUCCUUACAUGUAUCAUGAAUAAUGAUGUGCUACCCUCUGCCAUGGCAGUACCCCACAGAUGGAUUAAAAGGACCAUCAAGGAGUGGAAAGAUAGUUUCUCUGCCUAUCCAGUCCUGUUCACUUUAGGAUUGCUCCCAGGUUGGAAAAAAAGGAAGUAGUGAAAUGCACUUCAUCUUCAGCCUGAGAAAUAUUUGAGCCAUUAUUUAAGGGAAAAAAUAUUUCCUGCUUUUACGUACUUUUUUUUUUUAGUGCAAUGAAAAUGGAACUGGAGCGUGCGUGAUACCACUAAUACACAACCAACCAUGGAAAAAGAUGGCAUUUAUUUAAAUAAAAUUUUGAAGUCUAACUGAAAGC